AUUGAACGCUGGCGGCAGGCCUAACACAUGCAAGUCGAACGAGUGGCGGACGGGUGAGUAAUUUCUGGGAAACUGCCUGAUGGAGGGGGAUAACUACUGGAAACGGUAGCUAAUACCGCAUACCAUCGGAUGUGCCCAGAUGGGAUUAGCUGGUGGGUGGGGUAACGGCUCACCAAGGAGAAGAUCCCUAGCUGGUCUGAGAGGAUGACCAGCCACACGUGAACUGAGACACGGUCCAGACGCCUACGGGAGGCAGCAGUGGGGAAUAUUGCACAAUGGGCGCAAGCCUGAUGCAGCCAUGCCGCGUGUAUGAAGAAGGCCUUCGGGUUGUAAAGUACUUUCAGCGGGGAGGCGUUACUCGCAGAAGAAGCACCGGCUAACUCCGUGCCAGCAGCCGCGGUAAUUC
Molecule: ribosomal RNA, 406 nt
Filed under: uncultured bacterium
Lineage: Bacteria
Description: partial 16S ribosomal RNA
Rfam family: Bacterial small subunit ribosomal RNA
Source: RNAcentral